This 264-nucleotide ribosomal RNA is filed under the name uncultured bacterium. RNAcentral's name for it is "partial 16S ribosomal RNA". It matches the Rfam family "Bacterial small subunit ribosomal RNA", at positions 109 to 353 of the family's 1533-position model. The record is from RNAcentral.
AGUAACACGUAAACAACCUGCCUUCAGGAUGGGGACAACAGACGGAAACGACUGCUAAUACCGAAUAAGUUCCAAGAGCCGCAUGGCCCAUGGAAGAAAAGGUAGGCCUCUACCUGUAAGCUAUCGCCUGAAGAGGGGUUUGCGUCUGAUUAGCUGGUUGGAGGGGUAACGGCCCACCAAGGCGACGAUCAGUAGCCGGUCUGAGAGGAUGAACGGCCACACUGGAACUGAGACACGGUCCAGACUCCUACGGGAGGCAGCAUG